Long non-coding RNA from Astatotilapia calliptera (eastern happy), 419 nucleotides. NCBI's taxonomy places the organism in Eukaryota, Metazoa, Chordata, Actinopteri, Cichliformes, Cichlidae. The record is from Ensembl.
UCCACCACCUGCUGAUGCCAGCUUUCAGUCGAAGGACACAAACAAGAUCAUUCACCCAGAUUUGAAAAAUGAUCGUUCAUCCCUGGAUGAUGAAGUGGCGUUUUUCAUGUGUCCUACUGAUGUUCCUCUGCCUCCGAGACCUCCACCCACUGCAGAGUUACGUCUCUGCAGAAAGCGCAGAUAUUCUGCUGUUUUUUCUGUGGAGGAUGAAGAGGAACAUUUGAUGCCUAAACGCAUGAGGCUGAUGAGUUCUGAUGUUCCAUUUCUUCAGUUCCUCCACCUGCUGAUGCCAGCUUUCAUUCAAAGGACACAAACAAGAUCAUUCAUCCAGAUUUGAAAAAUGAUCGUUCAUCCCUGGAUGAUGAAGUGGCGUUUUUCAUGUGUCCUACUGAUGUUCCUCUGCCUCCGAGACCUCCACC